GACGAACGCUGGCGGCGUGCUUAACACAUGCCAGUCGAACGGAAAGGCCCUGCUUUUGUGGGGUGCUCGAGUGGCGAACGGGUGAGUAACACGUGAGUAACCUGCCCUUGACUUUGGGAUAACUUCAGGAAACUGGGGCUAAUACCGGAUAGGAGCUCCUGCUGCAUGGUGGGGGUUGGAAAGUUUCGGCGGUUGGGGAUGGACUCGCGGCUUAUCAGCUUGUUGGUGGGGUAGUGGCUUACCAAGGCUUUGACGGGUAGCCGGCCUGAGAGGGUGACCGGCCACAUUGGGACUGAGAUACGGCCCAGACUCCUACGGGAGGCAGCAGUGGGGAAUAUUGCACAAUGGGCGGAAGCCUGAUGCAGCAACGCCGCGUGCCGGAUGACGGCCUUCGGGUUGUAAACCGCUUUCGCCUGUGACGAAGCGUGAGUGACGGUAAUGGGUAAAGAAGCACCGGCUAACUACGUG
RNAcentral lists this ribosomal RNA (468 nucleotides) under uncultured bacterium. RNAcentral describes it as "partial 16S ribosomal RNA". It matches the Rfam family "Bacterial small subunit ribosomal RNA", at positions 28 to 507 of the family's 1533-position model. The record is from RNAcentral.